CGUAAUUUAAGCAUAUUAAUUAGGGGAGGAAAAGAAACCAACAGGGAUUCCCUUAGUAGUGGCGAACGAAACGGGAUCAGCCCAUCACGUAGGAUCAUAGGCUUGAUUGUCUAUCGAUCGAUUCCGUGUAAAGGAGGGUCCAUUAUCUUGCACAUAUAAACAUCAUAUUUAAGUCCAGCUUGAAUGCGGCUCAAUAUACCCACAGAGGGUGCCAGGCCCGUAUAUGUAUGAUGCUUGUGUAAGUGGGCUAUCAACUCCUAGGAGUCAUGUUGCUUGAUAGUGCAGCAUUAAGUGGGAGGUAAACUCCUUCUAAGGCUAAAUAUUACCAUGAGACCGAUAGCGAACAAGUACCGUGAGGGAAAGUUGAAAAGAACUCUGAAUAGAGAG
This 387-nucleotide ribosomal RNA is filed under the name Chironomus riparius. RNAcentral's name for it is "eukaryotic LSU rRNA". It matches the Rfam family "Eukaryotic large subunit ribosomal RNA", at positions 28 to 387 of the family's 3401-position model. The record is from RNAcentral. Lineage: Eukaryota; Metazoa; Arthropoda; Insecta; Diptera; Chironomidae.